CAGGGGAAGGCGCAUUUGCCGUGACGGUGAAUUCGUGUAAAGGCACUGACAGGUGACAGGGUUCCAUGGACAACAAUUCUUCUCUCACUCAGCGAACAACACAAGAAGACUUUACAACCAUAAAAUCGCAUUGACCUGAUGCUUGUUGGCGCUAUGCGCAGCAGAAGAAGAGGCUAAACCUCCCGUCAGAUUGCAGACCUGGCCGCUGCGGAACACCAUAGAGGAAACGGUGGACAAAGCGAAUCUAGUGGAUACGGAAGGCGUCCUAGUGGACACGGCUGAUAUGGGGGACAUGGUGGAUACGACCAACAUGGAGCAUUUGGCCGAAAACGCGGCUCGGAUGGAGUGGACUUGUCGAUUGUUGAGAAUCGAGAACACUGAAAACCGAGGACACACUGGAUAUGUUGGCCGCGGAGAAUACAGUGGAUAAAAAGGAUGCACGAGCAGUAAUCGUAAAGGCCGCUCUGUCAAAGACGACGUCGUUGUAGACCAGAAAACCACUGAACAUCGUAAUGAAGGAUACGUUGGCUACGGUGGCAAUAUGGCGGAUGCAGUAGCUACGGUGGGUAUCCAGUGGCUAUGGUAACUAUACAGUCCCAGCAACUAUCGUCCUUAUGGAGGAUAUGGUUGGGGUCGCUUAAAUAGGGAAUAUUAUGAAAAUGAGUUACGUUCAGUAUGUUAACUCUGUUCAGUAAUCAUGACAUUCUGCACUCCUGUGAAAUAAAUUGAUAAAAAAAUA
This is a long non-coding RNA of Daphnia magna, 739 nucleotides long. RefSeq lists it as uncharacterized. NCBI's taxonomy places the organism in Eukaryota, Metazoa, Arthropoda, Branchiopoda, Diplostraca, Daphniidae. The transcript is spliced from 2 exons. The record is from RefSeq and is a predicted model, not a curated record.